AUUGAACGCUGGCGGCAGGCCUAACACCUGCAAGUCGAGCGAGCGGCGGACGGGUGAGUAAUGUCUGGGAAACUGCCUGAUGGAGAGGGAGAACUACUGGAAACGGUAGCUAAUCCCGCAUACCAUCAGAUGUGCCCAGACGGGAUUAGCUAGUAGGGGGGGUAAAGGCUCACCUAGGCGACGAUCCCUAGCUGGUCUGAGAGGAUGACCAGCCACACGGGAACUGAGACACGGUCCAGACUCCUACGGGAGGCAGCAGUGGGGAAUAUUGCACAAUGGGCGCAAGCCUGAUGCAGCCAUGCCGCGUGUGUGAAGAAGGUCUUCGGGUUGUAAAGCACUUUCAGCUGGGAGGCGUUACCCGCAGAAGAAGCACCGGCUAACUCCGUGCCAGCAGCCGCGGUAAUAC
RNAcentral lists this ribosomal RNA (406 nucleotides) under uncultured bacterium. Its description in RNAcentral is "partial 16S ribosomal RNA". It matches the Rfam family "Bacterial small subunit ribosomal RNA", at positions 30 to 526 of the family's 1533-position model. The record is from RNAcentral.